This 229-nucleotide unclassified non-coding RNA is filed under the name Hevea brasiliensis (rubber tree). Lineage: Eukaryota; Viridiplantae; Streptophyta; Magnoliopsida; Malpighiales; Euphorbiaceae. The record is from RNAcentral.
GAGAGGAAGAUGAGCACGGGAGAUAGAUUUGUUAAAGGAGGUAAAAUUUUUAGAGGAUUCAAAAUCUCAAAAAUCUUAGCUUUUUCAGCUGUAUUGGAAGGUUUUGCUAUUUUACCUAUUUGCCUUUAUCUUACCUAAAAAUUUUACUCGUCCAAACACACUAUAACCCUAUGUUUGGAUCUUCCUUUCUAUUACUUGGAUAGGCUAUUAGAAUUGAAAAAAGUUAAAA